RNAcentral lists this unclassified non-coding RNA (201 nucleotides) under uncultured fungus. RNAcentral describes it as "sequence contains ITS1". Lineage: Eukaryota; Fungi. The record is from RNAcentral.
UUAACUAUUAUAUAGUACUCAGACAUCACUAACAUUCAGAGUUUGGUCCUCUGGCAGGCGCAUGCAGGCCGGAGCCCACAGUGGUUUCCCACGGCCUGCCAAAGCAACAAGAGUAUAUAGACACGGGUUCGUGGCGCCGGGGUUUGACCCCCGAGACACUUUGAACUGGUAAUGAUCCUUCCGCAGGUUCACCUACGGAAA